Brassica oleracea var. oleracea is the source of this 896-nucleotide long non-coding RNA. RefSeq lists it as uncharacterized. NCBI's taxonomy places the organism in Eukaryota, Viridiplantae, Streptophyta, Magnoliopsida, Brassicales, Brassicaceae. The record is from RefSeq and is a predicted model, not a curated record. The transcript is spliced from 5 exons.
UACUUUACAGUUUUGAUCUUUGCGUGUAAAAAGAAUGAAGAACUUGCAGCCAACUAUCUUCAAGAUCACAUGCACAAAUUUGAAGAAGAAUAAUGGAAGAAGAAACAGACCAAAUCCAUACCUUCUCCCCUCCUAAACUCAGAGAAUCAUCUUUUUGUUUCUUUCUUCUCCAGUGCAUUUGAUAACUUAAUUUCAUGUUUAUGUUCAUGUGUUUAUGUUACAGUUUGGAAACUUAUCAUAGCUUUUCUGUUUGAAGAUGUUUCUCCUCUUUCAUACGGAAUAUAAAAUUCAGCCCGUUCAGAUGAUUUUAAGUUCAGUUCAUCAACCAGUAUAUCGAAGUCCUACAACCAUCCACUUUUAAUCCAAUGUUUCAAGCGGAAUUUCCGAAUCAAAAUUGCUGACGUACAUCACCACAUACAGUUCAGGCUUUGAAAGUGGGACAGGAGCUGCCUUUUUUCCAUGAGAUGUUAGCCAAUCUCGGACUUCUAUCAUGGGGGGAGAAGCUGCUGUUGUGGUGGUAAGAGGAGCUUUAGACCAGAACUCUGUUGCAAAAGGACAGGAGAUGAACAAAUGAGAGAUAGAUUCCAACUCUCCACAUCUUUUGCAGCUAAGUUCUGACUGUAUUCCUCUAAUUGCGAGCAGAGAUCCCGCCGGGAGGGCAUUGUUCAAGAAUGCUUGAUUGAAUAACCUCCAUCCAGCAUCAGUAUGAAAGAAAGGCAGAACAUAUGCUUAUUCAGUCAAAUCUCAGUGCCACUAAGGCAUCAUUAAAGACAUCAAAUUAUGAAGAGCAUCUAGAGGCCAGUGGAGAGGCUGUCGAAUCUCGUCAACAUAAUGGGGACGACAAAUUUUAAAAUUAUAAACGGAUUAUUCGUUUGAUUUUCCUGUCGUUUGAGUUC